RNAcentral lists this ribosomal RNA (115 nucleotides) under Paracoccaceae bacterium. The record is from RNAcentral. RNAcentral also lists the same sequence under 2 other names. Lineage: Bacteria; Pseudomonadati; Pseudomonadota; Alphaproteobacteria; Rhodobacterales; Paracoccaceae.
UUUGGUGGUCAUAGCAGAAGCAAAACACCCGAUCCCUUCCCGAACUCGGAAGUUAAGUGCUCUAACGCCAAUGGUACUGCAUCUUAAGGUGUGGGAGAGUAGGUAACCGCCAAAC